GCGGUACCAUGCUCUAGUGCCCGCGUCAGCUCUGCCGCCCACGGCGACGGUCUGCCUCAGCCAGGCUGGUUUUGAUCGAUUUUGGCUGAUUUUAACUGGUUUUACACGUAUCCCUAUGGACAAACAUGUUAGGGAGCCUCAGUUAGCUGAAAAAUCACUAAAAACACUAAAUCUACCGGCCGGGGGGUCACCAGAUACGGCGGCUUUGCCGGUCAUUCUUCACGGCUGGGGUUCCUUUUUCAGCUAAUCUGCAUAGAAAAGGACGGUGAACACGAUGAUCAAAAAACUGCGUGAAAUGAGAAUCGGAAAGGAGCUCAUGAGAGGGAUUUUACGAUUUUGAUCGUAAUGGCUUUGCCGGGUUUUACCUAUAGUUUUCGACUCACUCAAAGACUCUUUUGCUCCGAUUUGGCCACAUAGAUGCUAGAAAUCGAAUUCCUAACGGGUAUGAGAAAUUUUUACCUUUUUGACGGCCGAUAGUGGCUCUAGUGCGGCAGCGAUAGGCGGUUGGCUUCCUUCUCAAUUGUUUGGUUCUUCUUCUCCGGCGGGGCCUAGUGGAUAGGGUUUGGGUUCCCAUGCGACACGAAAUAUUUAUACAUAUCCCGCGUUAAUUUGGACCGUCUAUCGCGAUUAAUCUCGUCCGUCCGAUCGUGCCUAAUGAGAAAACGAAUCUUAAUCGUCCAUUGUGAUUAAUCUCGCUCGUCUGAUCACGCCUAAUAGAGAAAUGAAUCUGGGUCGUCCAGGCGCGUAUGAUUGGUCCUGGCUCGUCCAAUCACGAGGCAUGCGGAUCGCCUGCGUGGCCUCCUGUAUGGCACCGAUGUCAGCAUGCCUUGUCACGCGAUGUGCUUUGGUUCGUGGGGACUAGUGACUGGGCAGUCCUACAUGUCAGAACUUUUUAUAUUUGCACUUUAGCUUUC
RNAcentral lists this long non-coding RNA (914 nucleotides) under Carica papaya (papaya). RNAcentral's name for it is "long non-coding RNA (CPAP_LNC014502)". The record is from RNAcentral. Lineage: Eukaryota; Viridiplantae; Streptophyta; Magnoliopsida; Brassicales; Caricaceae.